AAAUAAAUGUGACACGGAUAAAAAAAUAUUUUAAACUACAUCGCUAAACAGGGGCUACUAUGACAGAUAAACAACAAAUCAAACAUAUAUUACGUUUCCUACAGUGCACCAAGAUAGCGCAAUGCAUUAAAGCGAUAUAUGUACCGAGGAUUUCCGUGAUUCCAACGUGUGAACUAAUUCAAGGCAAACUGCAAAGCUAUUCUCAUCCCACGAAACACAAUGACAAGAGGCACUAAUUAUUAAGUGACGUAAUAUAUCGUCCUAUAUCCUCAAUUUUCGUAGCUGACGUUAAUUCAAGCAUCGUAGUUAACUUUAAAUGAGUGUGUCAUCCUGAUGUAAUACAUAAACGCUUUUGUAACGCACUGAAUAAAUUUACAACGCAUGAUAGAUACGCAAAGGAGAUGGAACGUAAAGAAUAAUAAUGU
Molecule: long non-coding RNA, 425 nt
Organism: Trachymyrmex cornetzi
Lineage: Eukaryota; Metazoa; Arthropoda; Insecta; Hymenoptera; Formicidae
Exons: 3
Source: RefSeq, a predicted model, not a curated record